RNAcentral lists this ribosomal RNA (484 nucleotides) under uncultured bacterium. RNAcentral describes it as "partial 16S ribosomal RNA". It matches the Rfam family "Bacterial small subunit ribosomal RNA", at positions 30 to 507 of the family's 1533-position model. The record is from RNAcentral.
AUUGAACGCUCGCGAGAUGCUUUACACAUGCAAGUCGAACGGCAGCGCGGACUUCGGUCUGGCGGCGAGUGGCGAACGGGUGAGUAAUGUAUCGGAACGUGCCCAGUAGCGGGGGAUAACUACGCGAAAGCGUAGCUAAUACCGCAUACGCCCUACGGGGGAAAGCAGGGGAUCAUAAGACCUUGCACUAUUGGAGCGGCCGAUAUCGGAUUAGCUAGUUGGUGAGGUAACGGCUCACCAAGGCGACGAUCCGUAGCUGGUUUGAGAGGACGACCAGCCACACUGGGACUGAGACACGGCCCAGACUCCUACGGGAGGCAGCAGUGGGGAAUUUUGGACAAUGGGGGCAACCCUGAUCCAGCCAUCCCGCGUGUGCGAUGAAGGCCUUCGGGUUGUAAAGCACUUUUGGCAGGAAAGAAACGUCGCGGGCUAAUACCCCGUGGAACUGACGGUACCUGCAGAAUAAGCACCGGCUAACUACGUG